GCUUUGGCAUAAAAUAUAUAAAAAAUUUUGGGAAAGAUACAAGAAGAUUAGCAAGGCCCCUGCGCAAAGGGUGACCCCGCAAAAUCUGAAGCGUUCCCCAAUUUU
This is a non-coding RNA of Cherax quadricarinatus, 105 nucleotides long. Lineage: Eukaryota; Metazoa; Arthropoda; Malacostraca; Decapoda; Parastacidae. The record is from RefSeq and is a predicted model, not a curated record.